CAAUAGCGUAUACUAAAGUUGUUGCAGUUAAAAAGCUCGUAGUCGAAUAUAGGUUGUUUGGAUGCGCGAGCACUCUUGUUUAACUUGAGAUGCUUGCGCCCAUUAGCCGCCCUUGUGGGGCUCGAUGUUCUUGAUUAUCAAGAAUACUCAAUCGAUCCCACACAUUACUGUGAACAAAAUAGAGUGUUCAUGGCAGGCCAUUAGGGCUUGAAUACCGCAGCAUGGAAUAAUAGAAUAGGACUUCCGGUUCUAUUUUAUUGGUUUUUGGAGCCGAAGUAAUGAUUAAUAGGGAUAGUUGGGGGCACUCGUACUCCGUUGUCAGAGGUGAAAUUCUUGGAUUGACGGAAGACGAACAACUGCGAAAGCAUCUGCCAAGGAUGUUUUCAUUG
RNAcentral lists this ribosomal RNA (389 nucleotides) under uncultured eukaryote. Its description in RNAcentral is "partial 18S ribosomal RNA". It matches the Rfam family "Eukaryotic small subunit ribosomal RNA", at positions 592 to 975 of the family's 1831-position model. The record is from RNAcentral.